AAAUACAGAUUCAUCAAUCUCUCAGCCUCAAUUUCCAAGUCCCUCGAUUCCAAUCGCCGAUUCAAUCCUGUAGGUGAGUGUCGAACUAAUCCUAAACUUGCUGAUUCCAUACUCGCAUGAAUCAUAAAUUGAUAAUCUGUUAAUUUAGGGUUGCUGGUUAUAAUUGUUGGUGAUUAUAAUUAUUGCUGGUUAUAAUUGUUGGUGAUUAUAAUUGUUGCUGGUUAUUUGGUUAUCUGCUGGGCUGGAGGUGUUGCUGAUGGGAAUAUGGAGGUGUUGCUGCUGCUGGAAUAUGGAGGUGUUGCUGCUGCUGUUUAUUACUUCAUUUGGUUGUUUUUGUUUUAAGGAUGAUGAUUUGGUUGUUUCCUGAUUGUGUGUCGGAUGAUACAUUGGUUGUUUUUAACACCGUUGAUACUUGAUUCUUGGUUUUAUUUCAAGUUCUGCGAUUUCUGCAAUUCUUAACACAGCAG
RNAcentral lists this long non-coding RNA (467 nucleotides) under Linum usitatissimum (flax). RNAcentral describes it as "long non-coding RNA (LUSI_LNC003839)". Lineage: Eukaryota; Viridiplantae; Streptophyta; Magnoliopsida; Malpighiales; Linaceae. The record is from RNAcentral.